Molecule: ribosomal RNA, 483 nt
Filed under: uncultured bacterium
Lineage: Bacteria
Description: partial 16S ribosomal RNA
Rfam family: Bacterial small subunit ribosomal RNA
Source: RNAcentral
GAUGAACGCUGGCGGCGUGCCUAAUACAUGCAAGUCGAGCGAACCACUUCGGUGGUGAGCGGCGAACGGGUGAGUAACACGUAGGUGAUCUGCCCAUCAGACGGGGACAACGAUUGGAAACGAUCGCUAAUACCGGAUAGGACGAAAGUUUAAAGGUGCUUCUGGCACCGCUGAUGGAUGAGCCUGCGGCGCAUUAGCUAGUUGGUAGGGUAAAGGCCUACCAAGGCGACGAUGCGUAGCCGACCUGAGAGGGUGAACGGCCACACUUGGACUGGGAAACAGCCCAGAAUCAUACGGGAGGCAGAAGUAGGGAAUCGUCGGCAAUGGGCGAAAGCCUGACCGAGCAACGCCGCGUGAAUGAUGAAGGCCUUCGGGUUGUAAAAUUCUGUUAUAAGGGAAGAACGACUUUAGUAGGAAAUGGCUAGAGUGUGACGGUACCUUAUGAGAAAGCCACGGCUAACUACGUGCCAGCAGCCGCCGUAA